GGGCUCGCUUCGGCAGCACAUAUACUAAAAUUAGGAUACAGAGAUAAGCAUGGCCACUGCGCAAGGAUGACACCCAAACUCAUGAAGUGUUCUGUAUUAAA
Molecule: small nuclear RNA, 101 nt
Filed under: Jaculus jaculus (lesser Egyptian jerboa)
Lineage: Eukaryota; Metazoa; Chordata; Mammalia; Rodentia; Dipodidae
Source: RNAcentral